AUUGAAUGGCUCGGUGAGGCCUUCGGACUGGCCCAGGGAGGUCGGCAACGACCACCCAGGGCCGGAAAGUUGGUCAAACCCGGUCAUUUAGAGGAAGUAAAAGUCGUAACAAGGUCUCCGUAGGUGAACCUGCGGAGGGAUCAUU
This 145-nucleotide ribosomal RNA is filed under the name Cladosporium cladosporioides. RNAcentral describes it as "partial 18S ribosomal RNA". It matches the Rfam family "Eukaryotic small subunit ribosomal RNA", at positions 1688 to 1830 of the family's 1831-position model. RNAcentral also lists the same sequence under 3 other names. Lineage: Eukaryota; Fungi; Ascomycota; Dothideomycetes; Cladosporiales; Cladosporiaceae. The record is from RNAcentral.